AUCGCUUCUCGGCCUUUUGGCUAAGAUCAAGUGUAAAAGGGAGUUGGUUUUGAUUCAUACCUGAAAGCUUUCUUAAACACAGCAUCUGUUAAGAAAUCGUAAUAGAAAUGUUCAUCAGCUGUUCACUAGAUGUUGGAUGAUUUGCAUGCAGGGCCCAUUGUGCCUGUGAAGCCAGCUUCACUAUCUUGCCAAACACAGAACCAAA
RNAcentral lists this small nuclear RNA (205 nucleotides) under Fukomys damarensis (Damara mole-rat). Its description in RNAcentral is "U2 spliceosomal RNA". It matches the Rfam family "U2 spliceosomal RNA". Rfam says of the family: U2 is a small nuclear RNA (snRNA) component of the spliceosome (involved in pre-mRNA splicing). Complementary binding between U2 snRNA (in an area lying towards the 5' end but 3' to hairpin I) and the branchpoint sequence (BPS) of the intron results the bulging out of an unpaired adenosine, on the BPS, which initiates a nucleophilic attack at the intronic 5' splice site, thus starting the first of two transesterification reactions that mediate splicing. Lineage: Eukaryota; Metazoa; Chordata; Mammalia; Rodentia; Bathyergidae. The record is from Rfam by way of RNAcentral.